This is a non-coding RNA of Pan troglodytes (chimpanzee), 117 nucleotides long. It matches the Rfam family "Metazoan signal recognition particle RNA". Rfam says of the family: The signal recognition particle (SRP) is a universally conserved ribonucleoprotein. The record is from Rfam. NCBI's taxonomy places the organism in Eukaryota, Metazoa, Chordata, Mammalia, Primates, Hominidae.
GCUGGGCGUGGUGGCUCACGCCUGUAAACCCAGCAUUCUGGGAGGCUGAGGCAGGAGGAUCACUUGAGGUCAGGAGUUCGAGACCAGCCUGGCCAACAUGGUGAAAUCCUGUCUCUA